AUCAGGUAGGAACACCCGCCGAACUUAAGCAUAUCAAUAAGCGGAGGAAAAGAAAAUAACAAUGAUUCCCCUAGUAACUGCGAGUGAAGAGGGACAAGCUCAAAUUUUAAAUCUGUCGGGUUUUACCCGAUCGAGUUGUAAUUUGAAGAAGCGUUUUCUGCGUAUUUGGUCAGCCCAAGUCCUAUUGAAUGAGGCAUCAUGGAGGGUGAUAAUCCCGUCCGGUUGAUCAUUGCGUUUUAUGAUACGCUUUCUAAGAGUCAAGUUGUUUGGGAUUGCAGCUUAAAAUGGGAGGUAAAUUUCUCCUAAGGCUAAAUAACGGCGAGAGACCGAUAGCGAACAAGUACCGUGAGGGAAAGAUGAAAAGAACUUUGAAAAGAGAGUUAAACAGUACGUGAAAUUGUUGAAAGGGAAACGAUUGAAGCCAGUCGUACCUAUGGGUAAUCAGCCCUUUGGGGUGUGAUUUUGUGGAGCGUGGAGAGUUAAACGCCUUCAUGCCUGCAUAUUCGUGCACUUUGGGUGUACUUGCCCGUGUGUAAGUUAACAUCAAUUUUGGUGGUCAUAAAAUGGCUGGAGGAAUGUAGCUUCGAUCUUGUAUUGAAGUGUUAUAACCUUCGGUAGAUGUGACGAUCGGGAUUGAGGAUUGCAACGGAUACCCUUCGGGGCUACCUGUCUGAUCUCUGAUUGUUGCUCUGGUGCCGAAAGCUUGCUUACGGUUAUCAAAGUCGAUGGUCAAUAGGUUAGAACGGGUUAAAUUCGUUAAGGAUGUUGACGUAAUGGCUUUAAACGACCCGUCUUGAAACACGGACCAAGGAGUCUAACAUAUAUGCGAGUGUU
RNAcentral lists this ribosomal RNA (834 nucleotides) under uncultured Glomeraceae. Its description in RNAcentral is "eukaryotic LSU rRNA". It matches the Rfam family "Eukaryotic large subunit ribosomal RNA", at positions 10 to 694 of the family's 3401-position model. The record is from RNAcentral. Lineage: Eukaryota; Fungi; Glomeromycota; Glomeromycetes; Glomerales; Glomeraceae.